UGUGGUUUUAGGCAGAGACCCAACGCCCACCACCCCAGCCUCUGCCCCACCGGCGAGCUUCAGAGCUCUCUUUAGCUCACUCUCUUGCCUCAGACUGCUGGGAACAAUGGAGUCUUUUGAGAGGGGCAGAUGGAGAGGCUAUGGUGAAGCUGUGAAGCUGUUCGCCAGCAGCUCCCUCUCUCUCCUCCUGCAAGGGGGAAUUUUGAACAUCGCUACAGGGUGGAGUCACUUCCUGGGUGGGCCCUGCAUCGAUCAUGUGCAUUUAGACAUAAAAACACUUAGAGAUACUCUAACAGAGAGCUCAGUCACUUAGCCUGCAGUUGAACACAUGUUUAAACUAUUAUAACAGUCAUGCUCUAGAAAAAACGGACCAGCAGAGUCAGCUAUUAAAACACCAUAAAAGUGUAUGAAUCACAGAGAGACUGGGUCAGAUUCAUGAUGCAUGGUUUAAACAGCACACACACACACACACACACACACACACACACACACACACACACACACACACAGGUCUGUCUUCUUAUUUAUUAUCUAAAUCAGCAGAAAAGCCUUCUUCUCAUGCGGUGUGCUGUCAUAAAUAUGAGAUGAGUGGGGAGGCCCUGCAGAUUCUUCUGUGUUUGUGUUUUUCUGGGUCAUGUUAUGUCCCAUCCUGUACCAAGGAAAACAUAAUGUACUAUAUAUACUCAUGAGCCACUUUAUUAGGUACACCUUGCUAGUACUGGGUCAGACCCCCUUUUGCCUUCAGAAUUGCCUUGAUUCUUCAUAGUAUACUUUCAACAAAGUGUUGAAGACAUUCCUUAGAGAUUUUCAUCCAUGUAAACAUGAUAGCGUCACACAGGUGCUGCACAUUUGUCAGCUGCACAUCCAUGAAAUGAAUCUCCCGUUUCACCACAUCCCAAAGUUGCUCUAUUGGGUUGAGAUCUAGUGACUGUGGAGGCCACUGGAGUACAGUGAGCUCAUUGUCGUGUUCAAGAAACCAGUUUGAGGUGAUUUUAGCUUUGUGACAUGGUGCAUUAUCCUGCUGUAAGUAACUAUCAGAAGAUGGUACACUGUGGUCAUGAAGGAUGGAGAUGGUCAGUAACAAUACUUGGGUAGGCUGUGGAGUUUUAACGAUGCUCAGUUGGUACUAGGGGGCACAAAGUGUGCCAAGAAAAUAUCCCCCACACCUUCCCUCCUCCACCAGCACGCCAUUGAUUCAAGGCAGGAUGGAUCCAUGCUUUCAUGUUAAUUAUGCUAAAUUCUGACCCACCAUCUGAAUGUCUUGACUCAUCAGACCAGGCAAUGUUUUUCCAGUCCUCUGUUGUUCAAAGUUGUGUAAACUGCAGCCUCAGUUUCCUGUUCUUAGCUGGUAGGAUUGGUACCUGGUGUGGUCCUCUGCUGCUGUAGCCCUUCUACUUCAAGGUUUGUGUACACAUGUUGGGUGUCCAGAGAUGGUAUUCUGCAUACCUUGGUUGUAAGGAGUGGUUAUUUGACUUACUGGUGCCCUUCUUUCAUCUGUCUGCCUAUUCUCCUCUGACCUCUAACAUCAACAAGACACUUUCAUCCACACACCUGCUUUACACUGGAUAAUUUCUCUUUUUUGGACCAUUCUCUGUAAGUCCUAGAGAUGGUUGUGCAUGAAAAUCCCAGUAGAUCAGCAGUUUCUGAAACACUUAAACCAGCUCAUCUGGCACCAACCAUGCCACCUCCAAAGUCCCUUAAAUACCAUUUCUUCCCCACUCUGAAGCUUGGUUCGAACUUCAGCAGAUCAUCUUGACCAUGUCUGCAUGCCUAAAUGCAUUUUGUUGCUGCCUUGAGCUACUUGUGUUAACAAGCAGUUAAACAGGUGUACCUCAUGAAGUGCCUGGUAAGUGUAAGUACACUGAACAUGUCUGAGUCAAAGGGGUCAAGAGGAACAAGAACUGAAGGGUCGAUCUUAAGUAGACAGCUGGAUGAGGAAAAGUCUCCCCUUCUAAAUAAAACCAAACCAGAAUAAUUCGAUACAACAGAGGAAAAUGUGUUUUAUUUAUUUUUCUCCAUACAGUGGGAACUAGAGGUUCCAGGUUACUUAUAUUGGAGAGGAAAGUUGCACACACAGAAGAAACCUGUUGUCUGAGCUCAUCAUUUUGUUUGCUUACAAGCUAUUUAUGCCCACUCAACAAUUUUGUGAACCUCACUGUGUGAAGAGAGCUCAGAAUAUAUGAUGCUAAAAAAGUGAGGUUUUCCCAAAACACAGACGUGUUAAACAUGAGGCUAAUUCUAAUCUGUUUGUUUUUGGCAAAGGACUUUGUCACUUGCACACACACACACACACACACACACACACACACACACACACACACACACACACACACACACACACACACACACACACACACACACACACACACACUGGACAGGGUCCAGUGUUGACUCCUUGUCAAUAUUAUACCAAUUAAAUGACAGAUUCAUCUGUAGAGUAGGUUUGUUAACACCAUGGUAAAUAUAUAGGUUGAAAAUACCUCUUUUACUUGGGCAGAUGCACUAAACAUAGGCUAAGUGCGCCCUAUCCCAGUUCAAGAAACUACUCUACCUUUUUCAGAGGCACAUCAAAGGUAGGCUCAAAACUUUUCAUUUUGACAAUGUUUACAGUUAGUUAAGGCCUGGUCCGGCUUUAGUUAUGCUGCUAUGAGUUCAGACUGCUGGGGGAACUGCUAAACUGAGCUCCUUUCUUUCCUUUUCUAUCCUUUAUCUAUAUGUGUGUUAUUAACUCUGUAUCAUGUGGUCCCAUUACAGUCUCUAACCACAAUCUUUUCUGGAGGUCUCUAAGCCCCCUCAUCCCAUAGCUUUUUCUAGAUUGCUGCCGCAGUUGCCCUGCUACUGCCGACCUGCCAGCUUUCCAGCUGCUUCAACAACAAACAUCAGUCUCACAGUUAGAGAGCUAAUGUUUCUAAUUACUGCCAUGCUAUAACUAUGGACCUGUUGACUUUAAUUUGCCAUAAUUUAAAAAAAAGCUUGAUUACAAAUGUUACUUUUCUUUUCAACUUGCAUUUAAUCUUGUUUAAUUGCACAAUGUGGCAGGGAUGCUGUGAUUUAGGUUCUCCAGUUGCUGAAGUGCUACAGUAGAAAAGGGAAAAAAGUGGUUUGUUCUUGUAUCAACAUAAUAGUUUUUGUUAGGGACAGUGUAUAUUUUCCAGAAUCAUUUCUCUGGUCAUUGGGUAUGCAUGUGUAUGUAUAGGGUACAUGUGUAUAGGAAUGUAUAUAUCUAUACAUAGACGCAGUAGGCAUGACAAUAGAUGCACACACAUAAACCACACUCCUACUGUAUUACAGUUUUUCAGUUAUUAUUAUUAUUAUUUUUUUUUUAAUAUUUUCUCUGUAUUUUUGCACUGUGGGCUGGAGAGAAACACCUUUUUCAAUACCUGUGUACUCAUUUACGGCAGAAACUGAUGACAAAACGCUCAAAUCAUGAAUCUUGAAUUUCAAAAAAACAUUUGCGCAACAAUUGACACAAAAUGUGUCAGUGGGCAAAAUAGUUGAAAAACUGCUGGGUCUUAAAUAUGAUAAUGUGCAGGUGCUGUUUGGAUACCUCAUGAUUGCUGUACAUAUUUCUUUCUGUGGAAGGGUGGCUGCCCAGGAAAAAAAUGCACUUGUGCCAAUCAAUAAAUGAAAAAAAACAAAAAAAAACACAACACACUUGAAGACACACUGUAGUGCUGGUGAAGAAUUGAAAUACCUAGUUUGCACUGCAAAAUAUCUUGAGCAGAGCCAGUACUCUACAACCUACUCUGGUCUUCAUUGAGGCCAUUUUAAGCUGCAGCAUAAGCACCUUAGGUGAGUUACAUUAAUCAGUCAAAUACUUCAAUCUACCCCUCUUGCCUUAAUGUUGAUUUCUGACACAUUUAAUCAUCUUUGAGGCUGCAUUCUUCUGAGAUAAUGAUUGGCAAACAAUUCACAUCUAUGUACAAUUUAGGGUGGUUCACAAGCCUGUAUGUCUAUAAUUUUGCCUGGAGGCUAAAGCACGUGGGGCUUACCUAUGUAUAGAAAGUGCCAGAAACUUUUUUUUCUUUUUUGCUACAGGAACAUCAGGAACAGUAAAUGACCUGGACUCCAUGUUACUUCAGAAGAACUCUGUAUUUUAAAAAUUUUGAACAAAAUGUUCACUGAUUUGUGAUAAAAGAAGGGACUUACUAGUUUUACUAUUCUACAAAAAUAGAACAUGUUAAAAAAUUAACAGUGUUUCAUUACUCCACAAUAUAACCAAUGGGACAGUAGUGUAAACACGCAGUGUUUUUCUCAGACAUAUUCUGAAGUAUGAAUCUCAUAGUCCUGACAUCUACACCAUCACGCUGACAGGAGCCAUAGGUCUUCUUGCGUGCGAGGAGUGCCAAAUUUCCAGCCAGUAGAGCACAGGGGGUUUGUGAUGUCAUGUGAUAAGUGUCAGCCCAUAGGCCCGUGGGUUUUGAGUGCUGUAGACAGCUGGGUGCAUGGAGCAGUGGGAAUGGAGGGGAGAGGGAGAGAGAUAAAGCAGGGUAACAGGCAUAGAAAGUGGGUUUAUGUGUGUGGUUGAAUACAGUAUGGAUGAUUCAAGGAAUAGCUAAAGCUGUUUGUGUGUAACUGAUUAGAUCAAGUAGCUGAAGAGUGCAAAAGGGGAGAAUGAUUAGGGGUGUGUGUUUGGUAUGUGAGUGUGUAGGGUGUAUAUUUAUAUAUGCCAUGCUGCUAUAUGGGGUUAGGGUGCAUCCCUUAACAUGUGUUUGUGUUGCAGUGGGUAGGGGCAGUGAUCUUGGAGGGCAGGAGUGUUUAUUGGACUUCAGGGGAUUAUUAGCAUGGGUGUGGCGUGUAUUUGUGUGUGUGUGCAUGUACUGUCAGAACAUAAAUAUACAGUACAGUAAGCUAUGGUUGUGUGCACCCAACAGUUUGCAUUUGUAUUCCAACAUGUUCACAUUUACAUCUUCCCCGCACAGCUGGCGUCCCAUGACAUGAAGCAGUGAUUUUGAUUUGUUCCAGUGGCAUGACCUGUUGCUGGAUCACAGGCGAGGCUUUGUCUUUGCUGUGUGGCACACAUUUUCUAUAGGGGUCCUUAUUGUUUUAUGCCAAGGCCCUGCUAAGUGAUACACAGACACAUUGUUAACCACCUCUCCCUCUCUCCCUCUUUCUAUCUGUUGUUCUAUGUUCAUGUGGAGGGUGAAUGUUUCUUUGUGCGCAGAGUCAUUGGCACGAACCGGCGCCCACUUCGACAGGAUACGUUACCAUGCAUGUUAUCUGGGCCACACUUUGCUUCAUUUUAGUUUCACAAUUGCUCAGUUUCCUGUUUGAUUUCAAAGUUGUUCUUCAGAACUACCGGUGGACAUUUAGAUCUACACAAAGAGGAAAAACUAUAGCAUCAUUCUUCUAUGUAAUAUGUAUUUAUGUAAUGCAAUAAAUGAUAGCCAAAAGCAAAGGAAAGAAAAAAAAAGUUUCUAAGUGGUAUAGCUCACGAGUGUCUGCUGUCACCACGAAAAACCUAUUUUUACAAUCCAUGAUAGUUUCUGACAGUAUGUGGUUGUACAAAGUUGCCUUUUGUUCUGGUAAAUCUCUUCUAUCAUGUGUCACACUCUGACUGCUAAGACACAUGUGCAACAAGGCUUCCCGGCAGUCAGCACCUGCUUAGAUGAUGAUUUGACAUAUAUGUCUGACCAGUGGACCCAAUUGUGAGGUGCUCAUCCGAAUUUCACAGCUGCAAUUGCCAUUAACUUUAAAAGACAUGCUGGUGCCAUGCCCAUGUCCAGAGAGACUCCAUGAAAGCUAUAAAUAAACCUGAUCAGGGUCAGCUUGUAAAACAACCAUGUGUGAGAGCUUUUUUUUCUUCUUCUGCUUAUUGAACUUAUUGUUUGUAAUUCUCAUCAUCUCAAUAUAGCACAAUUUAGGAACCUUAACAACAAAGUUCAGGAUGUUGACUCUCUUGUACAGAGAUGAAGAAAGCCUGAGUAGAGAAACGGCCUGCUGUUUGUAAUCUUUCAUAACAGCUCACAGAAGUCUGGCAUGCAGCUUGAUAGUGAAACACCAGUCAGCCCACAUACUGCAUUUCAACAACAGACAUACCAUGCAUGUGCCAUGAGAACACCACCCAUGUGCUGUGCAAUGUCCUAGAUGUAGAAGUGGGAUCUGGUGACCUCCUACAGAUAUUCUCAAUGAAUUUCUUCUAUGUUUGCAUGAUUCUGGGGGUGGAAAUAACGACAUGUGAAACCAGUGGGGUUUCUAUCGGUGUAGGUUUGAACUAUAGGCCCUAAAGUAUGAACCAGUGCCUUGUGAUUCAAUUGCCAAUUGUUGGGGAUAAUAGAGGACUGGUGAGGGAACGAGAUCACAUACUGCAUAAAUCUUCAACUUGUCAGUGUGGUUGCGCCUUUGUUUUCUCAGCAGCUGUGAAA
Molecule: non-coding RNA, 6365 nt
Organism: Xyrichtys novacula (pearly razorfish)
Lineage: Eukaryota; Metazoa; Chordata; Actinopteri; Labriformes; Labridae
Source: the annotation of a GenBank genome assembly